UUAAGAACCAAGGAGGAGGCAUGGAAUGGGAACUGAUACCAAGAUCAUCAACACAAGCAAUGUGAAGGCUGGGCCUGCAGAACGAUGUUGCAGAGGGUCACAUGACGGGGAAGCAGCACUCUCAUUUGUCCAGAUUCCGGCUGCCCUCCACUUCCUCCCGGACACACCCACAUGACAUCACUACCAGUAGCAGCGGCCGGUCUGGAUGUGGAGAUGGGGUGAAAGUGAUGACAGCGACCUCAUCAAUCUUUCUGCAGUGAAGGAAGUGCCGGGUGUCUACAGGGGUGGGGUUAGUGACGUGUGCCAGAUCGGUAUGGAAGACGAUUAUCGCCUCAUAAUGAAAAUGUUGACAGUCGAAUGGAUACUUUGCUUACAGAUGCAACGUGAAGUGAUGAUAUAUCAGCCUGCCUUUGUGUCUCCCCUUCAGCUGACGCCUAGAAUUAUUUAAAAUGAAGAAUUUGCAUUGAAAGCUUUGGGUGAUGCUUAGAAUAACAAAGUAAAAAGCCUGUAUUUUUGGCAGAUUUGGAACAUAUUUCAGAUUUAGUGCAUUUUUGGCGUCGUGCUGUUUCCACCUGCAAAGAAGACCGUGUAUCAGUAGCUGAAUACAGGGGUCUCCUGACUCCCCUUCACAUCCAGAACAGAAGCUCUCUGCUUGUCUGAAAGUCGUUUAUUUCUGAAUAAUCCCCCCCGGAGUUUCGUCAUCAUGCUUCCUGAGAGACACCCCCAUCUACACUUUCUAAAGCGGCAUCUUAAGCUCUGCAUUUCCAUUUCUCUAUGUCACUGUAAGUUUUAUGGAAAAUAAGAAUUCUUUAAAGUUGUUUUCCAACUAAACUCACUCUCCUUUUUCGCCUUCUGGUAUGUUAAUCUCCAUUUACCUGGGGGCUCCACCUUAAACAUACUGUCUAUGCCUGUCUAUGCUUUUUAAAUCUGUAUUUCAGCAUUCUGCCUGUAAUUUCUGAGAAAUGAGUUUUAUUUAUUUAUUCCAGGUGCCAAUGCCUUCUAUUUAGUGAUGGCAGUUUCUGAAACUAUGAACAUUUUAUUGCUGACCUAAUGGUAAGUAUUGCAUCAAGAUUGUCUCUGCUUCUGAUAUUAUGACUGAUUUGCUCCUAACAAGAACGGCCUCGCAGGACCAUUUUAUGUGUCACGAAAAACAAAAGUAAUACAACAUUACAUCAAAUAUUUCAUCAAAAUCUGCUUCAUUUGGGAUUGGUGGGAGACAGAGGAACAAGCACUAGUCUCGGAGUGAGAUUAUGUAGAUGUACGGCAAAGUCAUUUGUCUGACUUUCAUCAUGGUUUCCUAGGAUACCUGUAAGGUUUAAAAGCACAGCGUAUCACUUAAGUACGAAACGGAAAAGAAACCGCUUUGAUGAUCGCAAGCAUGGAAAGUAUUUUUGGUUUUUCCCGAAGAGAAAAGGCGAAGAGUUUGGUUUGCUAAGUAAAAGCAUAUUGUGAGUGUUUCUCAGGUGCUUGGAAAUGUUGUAAAAUUUCAUUGCAUUCUUCAGAUUUGACAGUCUCAGGGAGCUUGGAGUAAAUCAGCGCUUGGAAUCAAGUGCCAAGCACGAAUCACAGAUAAGUAAAAAGCUAAUAAGUGAAAAGCUAGGCACGACCUAGAGUUCACCUCGUCAUUCCCAAAAGGCCGAGCCAGCAGCACUAGUUACGGCAGCUGAUGCAGACAGUUCACCACCUUAUGCUCUCCCCAUUUUUUAACAGCGACACUUAUAAUAGCAAACUCAUGUGCACCGGCAAGAUGUCGGAAAUAUCAGGUAACGCAAUGACCAUGAUUGAGUGCAAACAGGACCCAGAAAGUAACAAUUGAACAAAAUCCGUGAAUAUUUCACAUGAAUCACGGUUGUUUUCUGAUUGUUCCUUGUCUUGUGAUUUCACCAGCAGCUCUGAGUGAGUUUUUUGUGUUAAUACCAGUAAUUUUGCUUUGGUCUUCAUGCAGGCAGGUCUGAGGGCUCUCGAAGGAGUGCCAACAUCUGCUCCUUCUGAAUGACGCAGGCCGUUUACUGUCCAUCUCUCCAGUUGAAUCUGGGUCUCUAUCGCUUGACAUGCAGAUGAGAGCGAGCUUGACAGUGAAGGGCAGCGACCUGCAGCUGGGGCUUAAGGGCCCAGUGAUGUGACUCUUCCACCGAAGCCAGGCUCAAACUGGCAACCUUCCGGCCACCGGCACUGAGACUGAGCCCACUGAGCCACACACUGCUUCUGAUGGAUACUGUUUCUUACAUAGUUGUUUGGCAAUUUUAAUUUUAUGGGGUGUUUUCAAUACAAAUUCAUAUCUAUCUGUCUUCCAGUCUCAGCCUGGAGUCUGUCACAGAAAGCACAUGGUAUAAAAGAGGAGGACAACCUCGAUUGGGUGCCAGUAUCAAUUCAUAGCAAUAAAAACGUCACUUAUAAAAACGUCAAAAUAAGAUAGGUGAUGCAUAAUAUCAUAGACUAUUAAAGUAGUGUUGGAUUAACUUUUCAGCCUCUUUUAAGGUGACCAGCUCCAAAUGUACAUGACUACAAUGUAUCUGACAAUCUUCUUUGGAUCAAAGCUGAAUUUUCCCACAUCAUCUGUCAUUCGGUCUAACAAUACAGCUGUCUUGUUAGCAAAAUUAAAUAUUUCCAUACACAAAGUAUAAAAACUAUAUUAAAGAAUAUUCUAGAUAUUGAGUAAAAACCCGCCAAAGCUUAACACAAAUGCUGAAUCAGCGAUAAACUGAGUCCGAUUAAAAUCAUGGGUGAUCAUGAAACAAAAACCACAUUGAACAAUCACACUGUCAUCUCUCACACGGCUCUGCACUGUGCCCUACAUCAGUCUAUCACACAAACUGGACCAUCGAUCGACAACUAAACCAUCAUAGAACAUAGUAAGGAGCCCUCUGAGAACUCGGAGUGUAUUAAUGCGGCUCUGGUAACCAAGGACGUGUGAGACCCCCACCCCCCGCUCCCCCAUCGUCACCUGAACUUGACUGCACUAAAAAUCAAUAUACUGGACUUGUUCACCAUGCCAUUUAUCCACCGUACCAUGUGGAUCGGCUGUUAGAAACUCAUUUCACAGGUCAGAGCGUCCUUACUGUACCAUAGAACCUGCUGUGUGAUUUACACUAAUCAUUUAAACAAGAAACCUCCAGCAGCUAAAACACUUCUGGAAUUAUUCUCUGCUGAGUGCUGACUGUCUGCUGCUGUAAUUUUCCCCAGGCAGUGCCCUGUAUUCCCACUGAUCGAUGUGGCGGUUAGUUUUAAUAUUGCAACCAGGAAAAUGGCCAUAAAAGGAAAAGAACUGGUGAUUCACUCUUGAAUUUUGUGCAGGCGGAUACAAUUAAGUAAGGGUAACGGAGCUGUUUUGUAUAUUUACUAGGUUGAGCGUUGGCGGGGGAGGCUGUUGUUCAAUAUUGUGAAUAUUCACUUUAAAAAACAAAAAAGUAACUCGGAAUAAACAAAAGUAAAAGCUUAUGAACUAAAACGACGCAAAUAAUGCUCAGUCAUAAGUGAUUUGUCCUAUGAAAAGCAAAACUAAUUUAACGGGAUUAGCAGGCAACAGCUUGCACUGGUAAUAUAUAUAAAAGGUCUUCUGUAGUUCAUUCAAUCAUGCUUAAUGGCAUACGAAUGCAAAAUCAGGAGCGUAAAGUAUAUGGGAGCAUCAUGACUCAUUUCACACAUCAGCUUUUUGUAUUUAUGAACAGUAAAUCAGCAAAGUGCUGUAGCUCUAACCAUGCCUCUUGCUGUAUGACUGAGUUACCAGGCCAAUGGACAUUUCGGAAUGGAAAUGUCAUUAAAACGCUGUCCCAGACUUCCCAUGAUCAUCUAUCCAUAUGUGAUUAGGUUUAAUAAUCAGAAUUUCUAAUAGGCUUGCACUCUAUAACGGACACCAUGGUAAUAUGCAAAACAGCAAAUACUGGAGCAUCACAUACAAGAUUUACGGCUGAAAAGACACCAUGGCCCAAUCCCAAUGCCCCCACUGAGGCCUAAACCCUGAACCCUCACAGGCUUAACUGACAUCACCCGUUAAGGGAUUGAGUGCGAGAGGCUUCAAAAGCUUAAAAUGGCAUUAAUAGGAACAGGACAUCACGUUGUGACAUAUAACGUUACCUUGACAAUGCCAAAACAUGUUCCUUAUUAUUGUGGUUUUGGGACUUUUUAUUUUAAGAUUUACACUUUCUUCACAGCCAAAUUUUUCUUCACUGCCUAAUUUGAACGUGUUCCAGGCUCUUGCCUUACAGAGUGGACGAGAGGUAAUUGUCAAAUAAUCAAUGUGCUCUUUUUUGUCAAAGAAGCACCUUUAAGCAAUAAAUAAAUUAUUUCCAUUCCCCUGGUAACCCCAUGUUUCAUGUCACAAUACUAUGGACUGUGGGUAAUUCCCUUAGGCAAAGUCUCCGAAAUGCAGACCUACAGAAAGUGUGCAUAAACGGCUGAAAAUGCCUGUGACAGAGAGCCCUCAUGCACUUGACAAUUUGAAAAUGGGGAAGCCCUAAGCCCUCCGGGACCAAGCAGGAAUGUGCCUUAAAGUUCAUGGGCCCUAUUUUCCACUGGCGUAAAAUGCGACGCAAACUGGUUUUGCUAGUUUGGUAUCAGCGAAUUGCUCAUUAUCACGUCAUGCGCCACGUAGUUAAAAUAGCAAAUGAUUUUGCGCCUGCUUUCCGCUUGCAGGACUGGGCGCAUUGUCAGCGCAUAUCUAUUUUAAUGCAAUGUAAGGACUUCCAACCAAAAAUCAUUCGAGAUAUUUAAAUACAUCAGGUGGAACAUUACAAUGUAGCCCUCAGAAGGUGGUUGCAUUCUCUGUGGCAUGUUGUAUGUUGCGUAACAUUGCCAUGCGUGAUUGAGGUCUUUUGGACAUAAAUUUGGAUACAUUACAGGGCUCUAUUAGGCGUGGUGCUGAACUGAAUGAGCUGAAUCGUCUGUAGCCUGGUAAGGAACCUAAAUUGUGACAAGUACAAAAAUAACAGCCCUAUUGCGUUUAAUUCGAACAUUUAAAAACACAUUAAAACUGUAGGCUGUGUUUUGUUUGAAUAAAGAUCGCACUUUUAUUUAUAGUUUGCGAACUGCAAACCUAAAACUUAAAUAAGCAUAAUUAAGUCCCAGUUCCUGGCCGCUGUGCCCCUUCAGCAGCGAGCUUCAGUUUUACCCGUUUUACAUCAUUAUACCCAGGGAUGGACAUAACUGGCUUUGGAUUUGGAUCGGAGUCUGAAGGCCCUACGCAGCUUGUGAAUUAGCCAAGGAAACGAGUCGUGGAUCCAGAUCGUGCCUUUGCGACUCGUCCAGAUCAGUUUCCCAGGCCUGGGUUUCCUGUAAUAACAUGUGGACAAUAAUUAGACCAGUGGAAAAGCACAGAAAGGCGAGCUGCAGCAAGAACAAAGCAGUGGUCUGAGAGCAUUAACAUGCAGAGGCAUGCCAAAGCAGGGGUGGGGGGUGGUCUGUCAGCUGAGUAUAGGGGCUGGAAAGUAAGGGGAAUAACAGGUGAGAGGAGACAUUUAAAAUAGGAGUGAUUUCUCCCCCCCCCCCCAAUCACCAUAUAUGCAUGUAAAAUAAGCUGCCGUCCCCUUCAGGGCUCUGUUAACGUUUGUGCCUGUGACAUACUGCAUGCUUUACCUCCGUGUGUAACUAUGCACAGGUACUCAUGCUGUAGUGGCUCUUACACCCAAGGGAAAUGACCACUGCUGUGUCCUGAAUUUCCCACAUGGGAGUGAUAAAUAUUUUGACGAAUAUCUGUGCCCCAUGUUUUGGAGUGUGUUAUGUGAUGUUUUAGGAAUGUGGUGUUUAUAAGUGAUGUUGAUGUCUGGGGCUCUUUUUCUGUAGCAAAAAUGAGUGUUUUCCCUCUCUGAGCCACCGCAGUUGCUGGUCCUGGGUCCUACACACAGGAGCAGUUGAACCUGGGUUCUGAAAGCAAAUCGCUUUCUUCUGUUCAAAAAAACGUUACGCAGACCGACAAAUCCGAAUAAUCUUGAAUUCCAUUCCAAGUCAUGAGUGAACUCUGUGAUUUGUCAGUAGGCUACACCAGCAGUAAUUAAAGAUCUAUAGCUGGAAUGUUGUACUUUAAAUCCUGCUAGAUGGUUGAGUGAAGGAGUCUAAAUUUUCUCAGGAUUUUCUCAGCAUGCCGAUUGUACAUAAUGAAUGAGGUAUGUGAAUGGUCCAAAUGGCACACAAUAAUUCAUGCUAAUGUGAUGUGUCUCGAUAAAUGAUUUAGGGUCGAUUCUUUCAUAGUGGUAAGAUAAUAAAUGAAUAAUGUAGGAAAGAUCAUAAAGGUGAUUUAAAAAAAAAAAAAAACACUGACUGGACUGAGUGGAGUUUUUUAAAAGAAUUACUGACGUGGAAGAUCUUAAGAUUUCAGACAGCAUAAAUCAGCUUGUUUUCACCCGUACAUGAGUACAGCACUUUCUGUAAUAAUACGGGACUGACUGUAGAUUUAAAAUGUAUUUCAAUAAUCAAUUUUGUAUCUUGAAAGUUAAAGGAAAUAAAAAACAGACUGCGAAAGUUAAAGUUCACAUGCAUUGAUUGUCCUUGCCUGCGAUAUAUGGCUUUAAUGCUUUGGAAACCAGCCGAACCAGGAUGGCAAAAGAUCGUUCUUUAUUAUUCUGGAAAGAAUGGUGCUAUCAUCAGGAUCAGUCCCUACUUUGUCCCAUUCUGUCAGUUGUUCCAAGAUUCUCCGUUUGGCCACUGGGUGUCGCUGGUCACCCCGUUCUGCCCCCUGCAUUUUACUAGGUUUUUCCCCACUCUCAGUUCCCGAAGUUCUCCUUGUUCCCUGUGUAGCUAAGUGGGCUAUGCACCUGACUGAUUAACCAUUUAUUCCAAACUAUUGUGAUUUCAAGGCUGGCCAGUCAACAACUGUGGAUGUUUUGGUGAUUUGUGCCACAGAACUCUGUUUUUCUCAACCCUGUGUUAAUCAAGUGCCUUGUAUUUAUAUACUUCUGCUUUGAUCAUUGCCUUAGUAUCACUGUUUACCCUGUCUGUGCCCAGUUCGUAUCUAUGUCCUGUUUCUUGUAUCUCCUGGUGUCUGAGUCCCUAGUGCAUGAAUGAUUAUUAUUGACCCUCAUCUGUCA
Molecule: non-coding RNA, 7019 nt
Organism: Paramormyrops kingsleyae
Lineage: Eukaryota; Metazoa; Chordata; Actinopteri; Osteoglossiformes; Mormyridae
Source: RefSeq, a predicted model, not a curated record